Homo sapiens (human) is the source of this 798-nucleotide long non-coding RNA. Ensembl annotates it as ribosomal protein L23a pseudogene 7. Its record names the gene RPL23AP7. NCBI's taxonomy places the organism in Eukaryota, Metazoa, Chordata, Mammalia, Primates, Hominidae. The record is from Ensembl.
GGGGCUCCUGGCUGUGGGUGUGGUACCGAGGCUUCAGCGGGUGCCGCCCGCCUAGAGGGAGUGGAGCGGCUAGACAGCUUUAGGAACUGAAAGGUUCACGAGGCUGUAACGAAGAGUCGAGUUGCUCCAGAGAGCCUACGACUAGAUUUGCAUCUUUACGUCCUGCGCGGAGGCUGCUACACACAUGCAGAAGUCAUGCUGGUGGCCUGGACAGUGAAGGGAGAGAAGUGGAUUUGGGAGACAUUUAGGAGGAACAGUAAGAGGACCUUGUGCAUGAAUAAUUUGUUUCCACACUACAGAGUGGGUAAUAAGCAGAUUAGUAAAAACAAUUCUGCUUCACUUCAAUAACAGCCUCCUCCAACUCAUUUUUUCUCAACAAACUUAUUUUUCCAGCAGAAGAAUCCCAGACUUCUUAGAGAACCCAGUGACUUUUUGCACCUUAAAUCUGUGAAAUCCUCAUGUUUUCUUCUGCCGUAUCCAUAGUUCAAACAAAGAUGAGGCAAAGCUAGAUGCAUUCCUGAAGGAACCCAAGAAAUUCCUCUCUUUAUUUCUCUGGAAUGAAAUGAAUUCUCUAGACCACCAGUUCUAACCUUCAAAAACCAAACCUGUUUGUGAGAUCUCCUUCAAAUACUACUGUAGACCCCAGUGUUUAUUCAUUAAAUUUUUAAAAUAUUUGUUUUAUUUGGAAUCCAUGUAUUUGUAAUUUUAGUGUUUGUAUUAAUAUAAGGGAGAAAUGUUUAAAUCUGUCUAUGCCAUAUGUGCCUCUGGCUUAUUGCCCAAUUAAUUGUAGACUCAGGC